This is a non-coding RNA of Microcebus murinus (gray mouse lemur), 2618 nucleotides long. NCBI's taxonomy places the organism in Eukaryota, Metazoa, Chordata, Mammalia, Primates, Cheirogaleidae. The record is from RefSeq and is a predicted model, not a curated record.
AGCUGGGACCACAGGCCUGCACCACCACGCCCAGCUAAUUUUCCUAUUUAUUUUUAGAGAUAGGACUAUGUUGGACUAUGUUGUCCGGGCUAGUCUCUAACUCCCUGCCUCAAGCAAUCCUCCCAGCUCAGCCUCCCCAAAUCCUGGAAUUACAGGCCUGAGUCACUGUGUCCACCACCACUUUAGGCCCUUUACAUCAGUCAGCUCUGGCUGCAUAACAAACAGCCCCAAAACCUCAGCAGCAGAAAACAGUAUGUAUUUCUUGUAUCCUGCUGAUCUAGUCUGGGUUCCCUGGACUGGUCCCAAGCUAUGGGUGAGGUUCAAGCCUAUGGCUAGACAGGGCUGUUCUUCUCAAGGCAAAAAAAGAGGAGGACAAGAAGGCAAGCCCCACCAUGAAGUGCACCUCAAGCCUCUGCCCUCACCACGUCCUCCACAGCCCACUGGCCAAAGCAAGUCUCUUGGCAGAGCCCAAAGUCAAGAUGUAGACAAGUGAACGGUUGUGAAUGAUAAUAUUACCUACCACACCCCACAACAUGUGCAGAUCCCUGAAUCUGUUGCUCUAGUUCUCAUCAAAGCAUAAGCUUGCUGACUGAGUUUGCAACGGUUAAGACCAGGCAUGAUCAGCUUUUUGGGAAGAAAGUCCUGACUGCUCUCCCGGAGGGUGUCACUCUAGUCUGGCCUCUUGCAAGGAUAGAGAUGCUGUGGUCAGCAACUCCCAACCUCAGUCUUCACCAGCACGUUGUUCCAUUCAAUCCAUGACAUUCCCUGGGAACAUCACAGUGACAGACCUCACAAUGGCAAUGAAUAAUUAGAUUCCUACCGCCUCCCAUGGCCACAGCCUAAUGGGGGAGACAGGGAAGCCCACUCUCCAUGCAGGAACAAAAUCAGUUCCGGAACAAAGACACAGCCAUCUUCCCCAGAGCCUUAAGGACAGGAAAUUGUGUGUAGGGCCCGACCAUCUUGACCGAAGCAUGCCGUUACCAUGGCACCCAACGCCACAUCUGGCACCACAUGAACAUGCUCCUCUGACUGCGAACAGAUGGAUGGAUUUCUUUUCCUGCAGAAUGAACACAUGAGCUCUAUUUCAUGAUGACAAUCACCCAGGUGGUUUUUGACAAGUCCUAAGUUGGGUCCCCAGAUGCAUUUUGUACCAAAGACCCUGGCUACAUGCCUCACGGCCUGAAGGCCUAAUGUGCUCUCUGUCCCCAUUUGGCCACUGUCUGGGUGUGGGGCCCAGAGCAAGCCUCAGCCUAAGUGAAAUGAGGAGAUUACACUAGACCAGGGUGUUUUCAAACUUGAGUGGGUCUUAAGAAUCAUCACGAAAGCUUGUGAAAUGCAAAUUCCUGGACUCCACCUCCAGAUAUUCUGAUUCUAUAGGUCUGGAAUGAGGACAGAGAAUCUGCAUUUCUAAUAAGCUGUCAGGUGUGGCUACUGGUUUACAGAUCGCUCUGGACUCCAGCCCCAGACCCCUUCUUACCUGCAUCGGACAGAAAUCUCUUCCACCUCUUCUGGGGCUCGAGCCAGCUGCAUCAGGCAGGAGUGGCUGCAGUGCCAGAGGGAACAUUGGGCCACAUUCCCAACACUGGCUGGUGGGCCUAGGGCCCGCCAUGGGGGAGCUGGGUUUGAGCCAGUCUGUGCGUUGGAAUCAUACUGAAUUCAUGGACAGGACCCAUAGGCCCUUGCCACCUGCACAGCCUCACCUCAGACCACACCUCCUGCCCACCACGGGCUGCCGGGUCCCUUCUGCGUAAACCUGGCCCUCUGACACUCAUGGCCACCUCCCCAGGAAGACUCCCAGACCCUUAGGGCCCUGAUUCGUGUGUUGUAUCAGCCCCUGCAUCAUUCCCAUGGCAGCAAUGCUGCCAUACCGUGGUGACCCUGGCAGUGUGCCGCUCAGAUCUGCCUUCCGUAGCCAACUGCCAUGGGAGUGUCAUGAGCUUAUGGCCCCUGGAGGCAGCACCUGGGACGUGCAGGGGACCAGGCCCUGGCCAUUACUGCCCUACCCAGCACUUCGCUAGAGCUCCCCGUGAGCCUGGAUGGGAUUUUCUCAGUGAUCCCUCCCCUUCUCCUCCCACAGUUACCAGCCUUGCAUCACGGCCCAAAGGUGCUCCCUCCCCACCCUUGUGCCCUCUGCCUGUAUCUUGCACAGGUGUUGCCUUUCAUAGACCUUUUGCACAUCCACCUGUCCUGGCAUCUGCUUCCCAGACAACCAAACUGACACAAGUAACCAAGUUAGUAACUCUCUGAUGAGUUUCCUCAAGUCGUCCCCUCCAUAGACUGUGAGCUCUGUGAGGGCAGGGCCUGCAUCCUUCUCGCUCAUCGCUGAACUCCCAGCACCUCGCACAGAGCUCCGCAGGCCGUGUGUGCCAACAACCACCUGCCGCAUAAUCCAGCCGGUUAAUGAGGACACCGGGGGAGGAGGCAGGGGGCAGCAGACCGUGGGCCUCACAGGCUUCGUACGGACCUGGAUUCAGAUGCCGACUCCCUCACUUAUAAGAUAGAUGAACUUGGACAAGUUUGUGAACACUCUGAACCUCAGUUUCUUCAUCUGUAAACUGAGGAUGAUGAUACUGACCUUGCAGAAUUGUUGUAAAGACUCAAUAAAUGGGUAUAAAGUA